GGGGAAAGGUGGAAAUAUGCUUUAAGAGCACUAAUUUAUAUGGUGUAGUGAAAGUUCAUGUAGUUUUUUCAAAAUCGAUUAUGCGGAAAGGAGCUGUUUGGAAUGAAGAUUUACAAGAAGAAGUAAUUCCAUCUAAUUGGAUUGACUGCAAUAAAAUGCAAAGAAGAAUUGGCUUAAGUUUAUACAAAUAAAAACUAAAUUCUCUUCAGAGUAUUUUCGAAAAGUUAUAUGGCCUCCAUGGAAAUGAAGGGCAAAGGUGGAAAAAUAUGUUUU
This is a long non-coding RNA of Hydra vulgaris (swiftwater hydra), 273 nucleotides long. RefSeq lists it as uncharacterized. The record is from RefSeq and is a predicted model, not a curated record. NCBI's taxonomy places the organism in Eukaryota, Metazoa, Cnidaria, Hydrozoa, Anthoathecata, Hydridae.